Gavialis gangeticus (Gharial) is the source of this 116-nucleotide long non-coding RNA. RefSeq lists it as uncharacterized. The record is from RefSeq and is a predicted model, not a curated record. Lineage: Eukaryota; Metazoa; Chordata; Crocodylia; Gavialidae. The transcript has 3 exons.
UUUCCCCCAACUAUUUAGGUUGGUCUAGUAAAAGAUAUCAGAUUCACCCAAGGAACCUUGUCUGCCUGUAUCCUUAGACCACCACGGCUACAACCUACACACGUGGGAAAUCCAUG